UUAUGCAAAGAGGAAUCUACAAAGGUAUAAAUCUCAACUCACUUUGUUUUGAGUUGAGUCUUGGUUCACCAAUAUACUAGGCUUUGAAUUUCAUGGGUAAUGUUUUGUUUUUGAGUGCAUGCUAGCAUGAUUCCGCCUUUAAUUGUUAAUUGCAUGCUUAUAGAUGUUAUUCAAAUGAACAUGUUUUUUACAAAUAUUUCCUUCAAGUGGUAUCAGAGCCUAGGUCUAGUAGUUGGUGAAUCCUUUUGGGUUUUGUAGUUCAUA
This 264-nucleotide long non-coding RNA is filed under the name Malus domestica (apple). Its description in RNAcentral is "long non-coding RNA (MDOM_LNC019491)". The record is from RNAcentral. Lineage: Eukaryota; Viridiplantae; Streptophyta; Magnoliopsida; Rosales; Rosaceae.